GGAUGGGGGUGCGCUAUUGCAUUGACCAGUCAUAUUUUGACACAGGGAUUACGCAAGGAAGUUAACAUUGUGUCUGGGCCUUAGGUUUCAGGAUCCUUGAGUCAGCUUUUGCAGCCAGGUUCCCUCCUGGAUUCUGGUCCGGAAUUUAGAAUGAUAAGAGAACAAAGGAUCAGGCAAGCAGCUUAUAGUCAAUUAAAUCAAGACAGGCAACACAUUUACAACUUGUGUGCUUUAGUUUAGAUAACGGGAUAGCAGCAUCUUUCCUCUUUACAUCUCUCAGUGGUUAACAGACAAACAUGAAACAUCUGAAGAAGCAGGAUAUGAGUUGGGUUUCAGGGCCUGGGAACGCGAACUCAGUUUUGAUCCAGACAGCAAGGUGGACCUCAUUCCUGAGAUGGCUGAACUAAGGAAACUACCUCCUAACAUACACAAUUUUUCCAGAAAUGCAAAGGACAUUUAAAGAUCCAACCAAGAGAAAACAUACGCUUUGUCAUUGGAAGGUCAAUUUCAGAGGACAGGCAAUGUUAACAACAAAAGUGUUCACUCAAGGCGCCUCAGUGGCUUCACUGAGAUGGAGAAGAAAGGAGAGCUUUGGGGGAGAUGUUUCCUUUGGAGGUGACGCCAGGAGAAGGUGUUCAAAGGCUUCUUGAAAAUGGCGGACGCUGGGUAAAGACAGAAAGAUCCCGUGGACAAACGAACAGGUUUGUGUUCCUUAGGAUGCUUACUUGAAGACUAGGAUGAGGUCAUCAAGAAUGGAGAGAAGGAUGGGGGAUAAAAACAGACUUUAAAAGCAUUAAAGAGAAUGCCCUAGGACAGAUCUUCAAGCAGCACUUCUUGAGUUUUAUGUAUAUGACAAUCACUGGCCUUGUUGUGAACCUGCAGAUUCUCAUUGGGUGAGCCUGAGAUUUCUGUGUUUCUUAUGAGCAUUGAGAUCACACCUCUAUGGCUUGUCUAUGGCCCUUACUUAGGUAGUAUCCUUACUUUGGUCUGUCCCCAAGUUCCCAGUUCCCACCUACUACUACCCUCCCUUUCCACCAUCUCCAUCUCAGCUUAAUACUUUAACCUCAAGUAUUCUCUACUCUUGCUCCAUUUCACAUAUGUUCUGCUGACCCUCUGUGAUGCUUUGAAUAUACUUUGCCCAGGGAGUGGCACUAUUUGGAGGUGUGGCCUUGUUAGAGGAAGUCUACUACUGUGGGCUUUAAGACCCUCAUCCUUGUUACCUGGAAACCAGUCUUCACCUAGGAGCCUUCAGAUGAAGAUGUAGGACUCUCAGAUCCUCCAGCACCAUGCCUGCCUGAAUGCUGCCAUGCUUUCACCUUGAUGAUAAUGGACUGAACCUCUGAACCUGUAAGCCAGACCCAAUUAAAUGUUGUUCUUAUAAGAGUUGACCUAGUCUUGGGCCUGAGGGAGUUUGAUGCCCCAGUGUAGGGGAAUGCCAGGGUGGGAAGGUGGGCAUGGGUAAGUGUGCAAGGGAAACACCCUUGUAGAAGCAGGGGGAAGGGAAUGGGAUGGGGGGGGGGUUCCAGAAGGGAGACCUGGUAAGGGGGUAACAUUUGAAAUGUAAAUAAAGAAAAUAUCCAAUUAAAGGAAAAAAAUAUU
Long non-coding RNA from Mus spicilegus (steppe mouse), 1599 nucleotides. The record is from Ensembl. NCBI's taxonomy places the organism in Eukaryota, Metazoa, Chordata, Mammalia, Rodentia, Muridae.